This 533-nucleotide small RNA is filed under the name Pongo abelii (Sumatran orangutan). RNAcentral's name for it is "processed transcript". The record is from RNAcentral. Lineage: Eukaryota; Metazoa; Chordata; Mammalia; Primates; Hominidae.
GCGGCCGCAGUGGAAGGAGCGGGCGCUUGAGCUCGAGCGACGGCGCUGGCGGAGACGCCGGCUGCUCCUCCCCUCCCCGCCGGUAUUAAUCUCUGGAGAAGACACAUCCACAGUUAGCACUUUCUUCAGAUGCUGACGCUCGGUGAACAGUUGCCCUUGGUCACAAGAUUUAGAAGACAUAGUGUCCAUCCUCCCAGACUGGAUCUCUUUUUCAUACGGAUCUUCUGUUCCUAUGUCUUUUUUAAAAAUAACUUUUUGGGAAACCUUUUGGAUUACAACUGUUCAUCCUCACCUAUGCAAAGAAAGGGAAGCUAUUGCUGGGAUUUUGAGGAGGUAGGAUGAAUUGGACAAGGAUGAGACUCGUGUAGGUGAGGACAGUUGGAAGGAUCAUGAUGUUGUAAUCUUGGAGUUAGGUGAAACAGCUUUUCCUAAAAGGAUUGUACACCUUAGAAGUGCUUAAGGAAGAGUGAUGAAGAUAGGCAUGAAGCCUUCGUCUCACAGCUGCAUGCGUAGUCACUGUUGAAGCAAAUGCC